AAUAGAUAGAUAAUAAGAAAUGUAAUCUUCAAGUAAAUGCUCAAAGAAAAAACAAUGGCUAAGACUUAUGAACACAUACCAUUUGCUUCAUGCUAAUGGCAAUACUCUGGGGGAAAUAUUACUGUUAUUGACAUUUUAAAAUUAGAGAAAUGGAGGCCCAGGGAGGUUAAGUAAUUAGCUCAGGGACACACAGCCAUUAGAUGACAGAGUCUGACAGUCUAGCCUCAGAGUCCAUGCUCUUCAUCAGCCUGCCCUGCAAUGGCCACGAGACUGUUUGAUAUGGUCCCUCAGCUGACUUUGGAAGCCUGAACAUGGCAUGUGAAUGAGGGCCUGCUUCUCCUUCCCCUUCCGCCAUGAUGCUCAGGGAUCUUACGGCGUGGCUGCUGCAGGGAAGUCAGACCACCUACUUGGAGGCUCAGGGGCCUCGCUCUGGAAGCAGGAGGCGGAAGCCUCUAAUCUUGGGCCUGGCAAUUGGCACAACCUUACUUCUGCCCUAUUCAAUUGUUCAAGCAAUCACAGAACCCUCCUGGCUUUAGCAGGAGGGGGCAUGGACCCCACAUCUUAAUGGGAGCAAUGGCGAAGAAUUUAUAGUCAUCUUUAAUCUGUCAUACCCGCUGAGAAGAAAUAGAUUUUCUGCCACCAGAAAGGUUGAAAGUCACAUGUGUUUUUCUCUUACAUCAUCGUUCUUCUGAAGUGAUGGCAACAGCUCAGCCCAGCUGCCACCUGAUUGGGCAAAGGGUCCUAGAAGAAGGAAAUAUAGAAGGGGAAGAAUCUUGGCUAUUUUAAAAUGUCAUUGCAUGCAUUUAUGCAACCAAGAAAUCCACAGAGUCAAAUAAUAUGUAACAAUUCAGAAAGAUCUUCAGAAAGAUCUUUUUACAAUUUUUCCUUUUCUAAAAAAAUAUAUUUUUUCUUUUGAGACAGUCUUGCUCUGUCGCCCAGCCUAGCUAUUUUUGCAUAUAGCUCUCAAUACUUAUGUAUUCAUGUUUUAAAAAGUAAUAUACUGUAAACACAUUUUGUAACCAGGUUUGUAUGCUUACCAUCUUAUCUUCAAAAGAUCUUGAUUCACUGCAACUUCUGCCUCCUGGGUUCAAGUGAUUCUCUGUCUCAGCCUCCCAAGUAGCUGGGAUUACAUGUGUGUACCAUCAUGCCUGGCUAAUUUUUUUGUAUUUUUAAUGGAGACCAGGUUUCACUAUGUUGGCCAGGCUGGUCUCAAACUCCUGGCCUCAAGUGAUCCUCCUGUCUCAGCCUCCCAAAGUGCUGGGAUUACAGGCAUGAGCCACUGCGCCCAGCCCAUGAAGAUCUUUUGGAGAUAAAAUGGUAAGCAAAAGACCUGGCUACAAAAUGUGUUUACAGUAUGAUACUACUUUUUAAAUCAUGAAUAUGUAAAUGCCAAUCACUAAAUGCAAAAAUAUUAGCAGUAGUUUAUCUGUAGAAGAGAUUCCGGCACACUUUAAUGUGAUUCUGGCACAUUUUAGUGUUUUCUGUUUGGGUGUGUUUUUGAUGUUUUAAAACAUGGAUAUGUGUCUUUUUUUAUUUCUGGAGAAAAGAGGUUAUCAUAAAACAAAAAAAAAGUACCGUUGCAGCCAGGCGUGGAGGCUCAUGGCUAUGAUCCCAGCACUUUAUAUGGGAGGCCAAGGCAGGUGGAUCAUUAGGUCAGGAGUUUGAGACCAGCCUGGCCAAUAUGGUGAAACCCCAUCUCUACUAAAAAUACAAAAAAUUAGCUGGGUGUGGUGGGGCGUGCCUGUAGUCCCAGCAACUCAGGUGCCUGAGGCAAGAGAAUCACUUAAACCCAGGAGGUGGAGGUUGUAGUGAGCUGAGAUCUAAAAGAAAAAAAUAAGGAAAGUACUGUUGCAAUGACUUGAAUGUUUGUUUUCCUAUAAAAUGUGUAUGUUGAAACUCUAAUCCCAAGGUGACGGUAUUAAGAGGUAGGGAUUUGGGGAAGUAAAUAGGUCAUGAUGGUGGAGCGCUCAUAAAUAGGAUUAGUAGUCUUAUACAAGGGACCCCAGUCUGGGCUUGGUGGCUCAUGCCUGUAAUCCCAGCACUUGGGAGGCUGAGGUGAGCAGGUUGCUUGAGUCCAAAAGUUUGAGACCAGCCUGGGCAACACGGUGAAACCUCAUCUCUACUAAAAAUACAAAAAUUAGCUGGAUGUGGUGGUAUAUGCCUGUAGUUCCAGCUACUCAGGAGGCUGAGGAGGGAGGAUCAUUUGAGCCUGGGAGGCAGAGGAUAAGUGAGCUGUGAUUGUACCAGUGCACCCUGGCCUGGGUGACAAAGUGAGACCCUGUCUCAAAAAAAAAAAAAAAAAAGACCCCACAGAGCUCUUGUGCCUUCUUUCCAAUAAGAAGUUGGCAGUGUGCAGGCCAUAGAGGACCCACACCAGAACCAUGCUGGCACCCUGAUCUUGGACUUCCAGCUUCCAAAACUGAGGAAUAGUCAGGGUGCAGUGGCUCAUGCCUAUAAUCCCAGCACUUUGGGAGGCUGAGACAGGAGGAUCACUUGAGGCCAGGAGUUUGAGACCAGCCGUGCCAACAUGGUGAAACCCCACUUCUACUAAAAAUACACAGGUUAGCCGGGCAUGGUGGCAUAUGCCUGUAAUCCCAGCUACUUGGGAGGUUGAGGCAGGAGACUCUUUCGAACCAGCAGGCGAGGUUGCAGUGAGCUGAGAUUGCACCACUGCACUCCAGCCUGGGUGACAGAGCCAGAUUCCAUCGCCAAAUAAUAAAUAAAUAAAUAAAUAAAUAAAUGCCUGUUGUUUUUAGGCCACCCAGUUUAUGGUAUUUUGCUAUAACAGCCCCAACAGGCUAAGGCAACUGUCCUGUGAAUUAUUAACUAGUUAGCUCUUUAUACAAACUCUACUGAGCAUCUAACAUCUACCGAUUACCAGUCUACUCACUGCCAUGAACAAGUCAGACAGGGUCCUUGUUGUCCUGGAGCUCCUGGUCUGGAGAAGCGCCUGGACUGAUCUUUGGUAGUGGCAUCUGAAUCCAGAGCUUCCUGAGUUCUGCUCCCAGAGGAC
This 3013-nucleotide long non-coding RNA is filed under the name Callithrix jacchus (white-tufted-ear marmoset). Its description in RNAcentral is "lncRNA (ENSCJAG00000071010.1)". The record is from RNAcentral. Lineage: Eukaryota; Metazoa; Chordata; Mammalia; Primates; Cebidae.